RNAcentral lists this ribosomal RNA (305 nucleotides) under uncultured bacterium. RNAcentral's name for it is "bacterial SSU rRNA". It matches the Rfam family "Bacterial small subunit ribosomal RNA", at positions 333 to 636 of the family's 1533-position model. The record is from RNAcentral.
GAGGGCCUACGGGGGGCAGCAGUGAGGAAUAUUGGUCAAUGGGCGGGAGCCUGAACCAGCCACGUCGCGUGAAGGAAGAAGGUACUUAGUAUUGUAAACUUCUUUUGUCGGGGAACAAAGGCGGAGACGCGUCUCCGGAUGAGUGUACCCGAAGAAAAAGCAUCGGCUAACUCCGUGCCAGCAGCCGCGGUAAUACGGAGGAUGCGAGCGUUAUCCGGAUUUAUUGGGUUUAAAGGGUGCGCAGGCGGGAGAUCAAGUCAGCGGGAAAAUGUCGGGGCUCACCCCGGGCCGGCCGUUGACAAUGG